Molecule: ribosomal RNA, 254 nt
Filed under: uncultured bacterium
Lineage: Bacteria
Description: partial 16S ribosomal RNA
Rfam family: Bacterial small subunit ribosomal RNA
Source: RNAcentral
UACGUAGGGUGCGAGCGUUGUCCGGAAUUACUGGGCUUAAAGCGCGUGUAGGCGGGGAGGCACGUCUGUCGCUUAAAUCCCACGGCUCAACCGUGGAACUGGCGCAGAUACGACCCCCCUGGAGGGGUGUAGGGGGACCUGGAACUUCCGGUGGAGCGGUGAAAUGCGUUGAGAUCGGAAGGAACGCCCGUGGCGAAAGCGAGGUCCUGGACACUUUCUGACGCUGAGACGCGAAAGCCAGGGGAGCAAACGGG